GACGUAACUGGGCAUGCGCACAGGUUACCUGUUCUGGAGGUCGUAACAGGGGAGUGCGGCGGGGUGGUGGCUUACCCCUCACAACUUGCACCAGGUCCUGCCACCGAAUGACAUUCGUGUUCUCUUGGGAGUUGUAGUUUCUGGGAGCCUUCUCUCCCUUGUCCUUGAAUGACCUCGGUAGCUUCCCUAGCUAUUGGCCGAGCAACGGCCAGGACUGACCUCUAAAUGCAGGUAACUUAGGGGCAGCCCUGAAUCAACAAGCUGUCCUGUGACCUUGGUUCGGGCCACUGCUGAUAAUGAGCCAUCCAAGAUUUAACAAGCUGGCCAAGGAGCAGUCAUGGACUAUGUGGUGUGAUUGGACUGACAAGGUCUCUGGAGGUCUGUGUUCCCAUUAGCCUGAGAGCACCUGGAGAGCUGACUCACACCAAGAUGCCCAGCACUUAGCAGAGAGCCUUGCAAUAGAAGCUGCUCAAUAAGUACCUGUGGAAUAAAUGAAUAAAUAAUGUGGAGGAGAGAGGCAGCUCCAUCUCUAUGAGGUUGUUUACUGUUGCAUUGUUUGCAAGAACGAAAAAUGGGCCCAGCUGUGAUGUUCAGCACCAGGGACCUGGUUCCACGGACAACGGCAUGAUGCACAGCUGGACAAAUGAAGGAGGAAGGUCUCCCUGUGCUGACUUGGGAAGAACUCUGGGACUUACCGCACACAAUCAGCUCUCGGAGGACAAGCUCCGCGUGUCCUGUUCACUGCGGUGACCCCCACACCCUCGCACCCCUGUGCCUGAUGCAGAGCUGGCCCUCGGUGAACAUCUGCUGGAGAUCCUGCCUCCAAUAUUCUUGCCUCCGUGUCAAGCAUCACCCACGUGGUAAGGAACUGAGGACUGCCACCAACCAUGUAAGAGAGACUGAAAGCCGGUCCCCCACCCCUUGUCAAAACUUAGAGGACUGGAGCACCUGCCAACAGCUUGUUUUCGGCCUCAUGGGAGACUGAACCAGGACCACCCAGGGCUUUGCUGACUCAGCAGUCAGGGUUCUAACAGAAACCGAAACCCCGGAGUUAGGAUAACUCAGGAAGGCUCAUAAGAGGGUAAGUACAAAAGCGAGGGUGGGUUUUGGGACCAUGAGGCGCAGGAAGACAAGGAAGAUACAGCAGCAGCUGAGCAGGUCCCACCUGGGGGCCAGAGAGACAGGUGAGGGAAAGUCACAGAGGCCAGAAAGAGAGAACCAUGCAGAGUGAGUCCUUCCACAGGGGCGAGGAGUGAGCUGUGGAUAAGGGUCACAGCACACCCGAGGCAACCCCUGCCCCCUCCUUUGAGUUCCCUGCCCAUCUCACCUUUGACCAAACCCAUCCUGAGGCCAAGGGGUGGAGCUGCCUGGAGGGCAGCCUCUGGAAGCAGAAUGAGAAGGCAGCGGCUUGGGAAUGUGGAAGAGCCAGUGUAAAUUACCCGCAGCCCCUGGAUUCCAAAGCUUAGCAGGAUCUCCUCCCCCUUGCCCCUCUGAUGAACCAUCCAUAGCUCUUCUUCUCCAGCUCGUUCUUCACUGUGGCCACCUACCAAGACCGCACCUUCCCAAGGCUCCCUGUCUUGCAUUCACAGACUUACCUGUCACCACCCCACGUGAUUCCUGAGAACGGGCUCCUAGCUCUGACCUAAUCCAUCUGCCUGAUGGAUGACUUGACCCAGAUGGUUCCUGGUACUACGAGAUAAACAGAUCCCACACCAACCCCACCUCCCACGUCCUCAGUUCUGACGGGCUGCUCCUCCUCCUGACUGAUACUACUUCUGGUGACAGCACCAUCACCCCUGAUCACUGAGCGUUGCAGGCUGAGGCAUGUGCUCCUAUGCCUUUGCCUUCUUUUCCUUGCCCUCCAUCGGUUGCAGAGUCCUGUGCCCUUUCUUUCCAGGUGCAUCCAAUGUCGGGACUGUCCCCAGGGGCCUUUACCUGGACUGCGGUGAUAAAUUCCUAACAGCCACCCUGGAUCCAAUCCAGUCCAAUGCACACAUACCUGUGUUUAUUGCACCAAGUCCUCUCACUGAAACAGCCGUAGUUUUCAAGGAGGCCUCGAACCUCCUUGAAACAGGACAUUUGAGGGGAGGGAACACUUUAUAAGGUCAACCUGCCCAAGCAGGGCACACAGCACUUCCCCCUCCUUCUGCGUUUGUCAGUCUGGGGCCCAGAGAAACCCCGGGUCCACACAACCUGCCUGCACACCCAGGGCUCUAUAAAAAGCCUCUGAUGACUCUGCCUGACUUUCCCAGUUAGCAGAGCCCGGAACACAGGGUGUUCCCAGGUCAACUUUUCAGGCCUUUGUCCCGAGACAGCGCUAUCUCCAGGCUCUUCUUCACCUCAAGUCAAUGUUCUGGAGGACGACAGCUCGUGAAUGUCCUCGGUAGUGUCCUUGCACAGAGUUUCCGUUGCCUGAGUUGGUCUUCUCUCUGUCCCACACUCCCCAAGCUCUACCUGUGAAACACCUGUUGCCUUUCAGAGCAGGUGCCAUGGCACCUGCCGCUUCCUUGAAAUCGCUUUGAUCAAGUCCUCUACAAAGCCUUUUUGGACUCACCCCAACCAAACGCCAUCUCUUUCCUUUAAGUCUCUAAAAAACAAAAUAAAGCAAAACAAACAAACAAGCAAACAAACAAACAAACAAACACCUUUCAGCACUGUUAUUUUACCCCGGUCUGUCCAGUACUUGUAUUACCCUGCUCAUGGUU
This is a long non-coding RNA of Artibeus jamaicensis (Jamaican fruit-eating bat), 2705 nucleotides long. RefSeq lists it as uncharacterized. Lineage: Eukaryota; Metazoa; Chordata; Mammalia; Chiroptera; Phyllostomidae. The record is from RefSeq and is a predicted model, not a curated record. The transcript has 7 exons.